UACGUAGGGUGCAAGCGUUGUCCGGAAUUAUUGGGCGUAAAGAGCUCGUAGGCGGUUUGUCGCGUCUGCUGUGAAAACUCGGGGCUUAACUCCGGGCCUGCAGUGGGUACGGGCAGACUAGAGUGCGGUAGGGGAGACUGGAAUUCCUGGUGUAGCGGUGAAAUGCGCAGAUAUCAGGAGGAACACCGGUGGCGAAGGCGGCAUCCUGGACCGGCAUUGACGCUGAGGCGCGAAAGCCAGGGGAGCAAACGGG
This 253-nucleotide ribosomal RNA is filed under the name uncultured bacterium. RNAcentral's name for it is "partial 16S ribosomal RNA". It matches the Rfam family "Bacterial small subunit ribosomal RNA", at positions 524 to 776 of the family's 1533-position model. The record is from RNAcentral.